Molecule: long non-coding RNA, 1244 nt
Filed under: Populus trichocarpa (black cottonwood)
Lineage: Eukaryota; Viridiplantae; Streptophyta; Magnoliopsida; Malpighiales; Salicaceae
Description: long non-coding RNA (PTRI_LNC003108)
Source: RNAcentral
GGAUAUAAUAUUUAUAGCUGGAACUUGCAGUUUUUGGCUGUGCCUGAGCAGUGAAUUCCGGAGUGGGAGCUUUCUUAGUAUCUAUUGAACCCCUUCUGACAGAUUCAGGUCCUCGUCCUUUUACAGCCUCUGCUCUUUGCCUGAAAAUAUCAGAGUCAACAGGAUAUUUAAUUUACUUGUGAAAUUGCUAAUGAAAGUUAUCAAAGAUUACAUUUCCCCUCAACAUGUCACAUACCUUCUGGCUUCCUCAUCUCGCAACUUGGCAUCCAGUUCCUUGCAUGGAGAAUAUUUUGGUAGACUUGAUGGAUCAGCAGGGAGGGGCUCUAUUCUGAAGAACUGAGAGAAAAUUUCAAUAAUAAUUAAGCCCGUCUAACUCAAUGGUCUAAACGCUCGUCAAAGGUAAUCUAUUAAUUAUAUCAUUUACACUUUCAUUUAACAAGGACAAAUUCAGGAAGCAACUAGUACUAGAUAUAACAAAUGAUUCAGUUUAUACUUUAUUCGGAUAAAAAAGUUUCAGAGAAUUUAGACAGGAAAACUCGACUUGGGUGGCCAAGAGUAAGCUGCUUUUCACCAGAAAAUGGUUUACAAGUCAACUAGUGUCUGCUGGAAGCUAUAUGAUGACACUGGUGCUUUAGGUUUGAUGUGCACGACUCCUUAAGCAGAUUAUAUCAAGAAGUUUUUGACAGGAAUUUGGUCUAAAAUUAAAUAAAAUAUUAGAAAUAAUUACCUCACUUCGAAGAGCUGAAGUGGCUGAACCUCGAUCUUGUGGUUCCAUUGACAGGAGCUUAUCAACAAGAGUCAAAGCUGACGGAGGGAAAUGUUUGAAUGUCUCAGUAAUACAUCGUAUGUAAGAUUGCUGAGGUUUGAAACUAGUUGCAUGUGGAAACUUUGUCUUCUGCCAGUAGAUCUCAGAGGGUGAACCACAAAGCUUAAAAAUCUUAUGCAUUUGCUCUACCUGUAAUCAUUAAGACGAUAGUUCUUAGGACCGAAUACAAUACUGUACGUGGAGUAGAUACUACAAAGUCAUGCAUUGUGAAUGAACAUCCAUGAUACGCUAACACUUUUCUUCUGAUUAUUUCAUGUAGGUGCUUAACUGGGCAUCUUGAACUUGCGUGGAGAUAUGAAAAAUACUGUAGAGCUUAGAAGGAAUUUGAAGAUUCCGAAGCAUGGAAGAUUAGUAAUGCUUGUUGCCCAGUGCUGGCUAAGAUGCAAGCAAGAUGCCGUACAUGCAAAAUGAGCUUACC